GUGUCAGCAGCCGCGGUAAUACGAAGGGGGCUAGCGUUGUUCGGAAUCACUGGGCGUAAAGCGCAUGCAGGCGGAUCGAUAAGUCGGGGGUGAAAGCCCGAGGCUCAACCUCGGAACUGCCUUCGAUACUGUCGAUCUUGAGUCCGGGAGAGGUGAGUGGAACUCCGAGUGUAGAGGUGAAAUUCGUAGAUAUUCGGAAGAACACCAGUGGCGAAGGCGGCUCACUGGCCCGGUACUGACGCUGAGAUGCGAAAGCGUGGGGAGCAAACAGGAUUAGAUACCCUGGUAGUCC
RNAcentral lists this ribosomal RNA (292 nucleotides) under uncultured bacterium. RNAcentral describes it as "partial 16S ribosomal RNA". It matches the Rfam family "Bacterial small subunit ribosomal RNA", at positions 505 to 796 of the family's 1533-position model. The record is from RNAcentral.